UUUAAGGAUGCCAAACCAUUGACUGGGAUU
This 30-nucleotide non-coding RNA is filed under the name Mus musculus (house mouse). Lineage: Eukaryota; Metazoa; Chordata; Mammalia; Rodentia; Muridae. The record is from RNAcentral.